GGGGUCACCCAUCCUAGCACUAAUGCACCGGAUCCCAUCAGAACUCCGCAGUUAAGCGUGCUUGGGCGAGAGUAGUACUAGGAUGGGUGACCCCCUGGGAAGUCCUCGUGUUGCAACCC
Molecule: ribosomal RNA, 119 nt
Filed under: Helianthus annuus (common sunflower)
Lineage: Eukaryota; Viridiplantae; Streptophyta; Magnoliopsida; Asterales; Asteraceae
Source: RNAcentral